RNAcentral lists this ribosomal RNA (524 nucleotides) under uncultured bacterium. Its description in RNAcentral is "partial 16S ribosomal RNA". It matches the Rfam family "Bacterial small subunit ribosomal RNA", at positions 28 to 523 of the family's 1533-position model. The record is from RNAcentral.
GACGAACGCUGGCGGCGUGCCUAAUACAUGCAAGUCGAGCGCAGGAAACUGACGGAACUCUUCGGAGGGAAGGCAGCGGAAUGAGCGGCGGACGGGUGAGUAACACGUAAGGAACCUGCCUCAAGGAUUGGGAUAACUCCGAGAAAUCGGAGCUAAUACCGGAUAGUUCAACGGACCGCAUGGUCCGCUGAUGAAAGGCGCUUCGGCGUCACCUUGAGAUGGCCUUGCGGUGCAUUAGCUAGUUGGUGGGGUAACGGCCCACCAAGGCGACGAUGCAUAGCCGACCUGAGAGGGUGAUCGGCCACACUGUGACUGAGACACGGCCCAGACUCCUACGGGAGGCAGCAGUAGGGAAUCUUCCACAAUGGACGAAAGUCUGAUGGAGCAACGCCGCGUGAGUGAUGAAGGUUUUCGGAUCGUAAAACUCUGUUGUAAGGGAAGAACACGUACGAGAGGAAAUGCUCGUACCUUGACGGUACCUUACGAGAAAGCCACGGCUAACUACGUGCCAGCCGCCGCAGUAA